UACGUAGGGGGCAAGCGUUGUCCGGAUUUAUUGGGCGUAAAGAGCGUGUCGGCGGCCAGACAGGUCCGUUGUGAAAACUCGAGGCUCAACCUCGAGAUGUCGAUGGAAACCGUCUGGCUAGAGUCCGGAAGAGGAGUGUGGAAUUCCUGGUGUAGCGGUGAAAUGCGCAGAUAUCAGGAAGAACACCUAUGGCGAAGGCAGCACUCUGGGACGGUACUGACGCUGAGACGCGAAAGCGUGGGGAGCGAACAGG
Molecule: ribosomal RNA, 253 nt
Filed under: uncultured bacterium
Lineage: Bacteria
Description: partial 16S ribosomal RNA
Rfam family: Bacterial small subunit ribosomal RNA
Source: RNAcentral